UACUACCUCCGUCUGCACUAUUCACGUUCAACGUUUGAUCGUUCGUCUUAUUUGAAAUUUUUUUAUGAUUAAUAUUUUUAUUGCUAUUAGAUGAUAAAACAUGAAUUGUAAUUUAUGUGCGACUAAAUGUUUUUAAAUUUUUCACAAAUUUUUCAAAUAAGACGGACGGUCAAACGUUGGGCACGGAUAUCCACGGCUGCACUUAUU
Oryza glumipatula is the source of this 207-nucleotide non-coding RNA. Lineage: Eukaryota; Viridiplantae; Streptophyta; Magnoliopsida; Poales; Poaceae. The record is from Rfam.